CAGCAGCAGCCGCGGGAAUACGUAGGUGGCAAGCGUUGUCCGGAAUUAUUGGGCGUAAAGGGCUCGCAGGCGGUUUCUUAAGUCUGAUGUGAAAGCCCCCAGCUCAACCGGGGAGGGUCAUUGGAAACUGGGAAACUUGAGUGCAGAAGAGGAGAGUGGAAUUCCACGUGUAGCGGUGAAAUGCGUAGAGAUGCGGAGGAACACCAGUGGCGAAGGCGACUCUCUGGUCUGUAACUGACGCUGAGGAGCGAAAGCGUGGGGAGCGAACAGGAUUAGAUACCCCAGUAGUCCCUGUCUCUUAUAC
Molecule: ribosomal RNA, 304 nt
Filed under: uncultured bacterium
Lineage: Bacteria
Description: partial 16S ribosomal RNA
Rfam family: Bacterial small subunit ribosomal RNA
Source: RNAcentral